This 1773-nucleotide ribosomal RNA is filed under the name Triticum aestivum (bread wheat). RNAcentral's name for it is "partial small subunit ribosomal RNA". The record is from RNAcentral. Lineage: Eukaryota; Viridiplantae; Streptophyta; Magnoliopsida; Poales; Poaceae.
AUGGAUAGGCAAGGCAUUUCACCUUCGGUCUACAACAACAACGACGAGUUCGAUGCCACGAACAACAACUCCGACGCCAAGAUGCAAGCUAAAAUGGAGGAGAUCAAAGCCCUCAUCAAGUCCUACAAGCGAUCUUCCUCAUCUUCGAGAAGACGCUCAAGAGCACAUGCUUCCAAGCUACCAUCUACGGCAAGAUCACAUCGGCAUCGACGCCAUCACCAACAAGAACAUGAAGGUCAAGAGCUCUACAUCAACAACCGCUCAAAGACUUCACCAUCUCCCUUGGCAUCUUCACCAAGCGACUUCAAGGCAUCUUCGCCUUCGAAUAUUCGGCAUCUUCGCCAACAAGCACCUCAAGACUACGCUCAAGAGAAGCUCCCCAAGCUCAAGUCCGCGACUUCCAUGAGGUACUACAACCUCGACAUCGACCAUGUGAUUCCUUUCUAUGGAACUCAAGAACCCGAGGAGUACCUCGAGUGGGAGCAUUUUAUGGACGACUACCUCAAGCUACAUCAAGUUCAUCCCGAAGAUCAAGUGAAGUGCGCCAGAAGAAACUUCCACGACUACGCAUUGGCAUGGUGGCUUCACACACCUUCGGAGAGCUACAAGACGAGUUGGCCCAAGAUGAAGAGAGCUUUGCGGCGAGAGUUUGUGCCUCCAACCUACAUGGAACAACUUCAACGCCAAUUGGAGAACACCAUCCAAGGAUCCAAGUCCAUCGACGCGUACUUCAAGGAGAUGAAGCAUGCCUUGCGACGAGCCGGCGUGGACGACCCCAUUUGGAUGAAGUUCCACUUCAUGAUGGGAUUGCACAACGACGUCUCCAAGACAAUCUUCCUCGAGAACUACAAGUCCCUCGACGAAAACUACAUUGGUGCUCUCAAGGCGGAACAAGAAGUCAUGAAGGCCAAGGCUUCUCCACCCCAAGCAAACUUCACGGCAACCAAGCUCCAUGAGAACGAGCAUGAGGAUAGUACCACCAAGAUGUCCAAGCCCGAUGAGCUCCAAGAUGAUGCUCCCAAGUUCGACUUCACCGCCACCCCUCUUUGUGGCAUUGAUGGUGCCGAGUCUACCACGACUCUUUUUCAAGACAGUGCGGCGACGAGUACGACUACGGAGACCUUCAAGGACCAAGCUUUGGAGGCGAGCGACAAGGUGGCGAGCAAGGAUGAUGCUUCCAUCUUUGGAGGCGAGAGUGAUGAUGUGCCAUCUUUGGCCUUCAUCCACGGCUACGCCGACGAGAUGGUUGAGCAUGGGAUUUUCCCUUCGACCAUGGCGACGUACGAUGACUUGAGUGACUUUUGCCACCAUAUUGAGAGUGAGAGUGACUUCACCACUAGCCCCAUAUAUGACGAGUUGCCCCACUUUCCAUGUGAGGAGAGCCACAACCCCCACCACUUGUGUGAGAUGAGUGACUCCACCAUAUGUGACUUUGAGUGCACCUACUUUGAGGGAGUGAGUGAACCACCACAUAGAGAGAGUGUGAUAGUUGAUAGGUCUUGUGAGGCCAUUUUCAUUUCUAACAACUUGACCUCUACCUCUAUUGUGUCUUCUCAUUUGGUGCUAGGUCCCAUUUAUGAUGACGCGCCGAUCCUCGAUGACUUCGUCCUCCCUUUGGACAAGACGAUGGCCAUGGUGGAAUAUGAUGCACCCCCACAUCGUUCCAUCAAGAUGAUGAUAUUGACCACCAUUUGGUCUUUCCCACCUCACCUACACCACUUGAGUGGAAUGACAAAGGUAACAAAGGUGACGGUGAUACUCUAUUCCCACUAG